UUAAUAGAAACUUUGGGGGAUAGUUCCCCUGUGCUUAUCCUUUUAUCGAAAAAUAGCAAUUGCCAUUGAUAGGAAAAAAAAAUUUACAUUGUUUUGGCCCAUUAAACAUCAAACCUAGCUAAACUCCGAACCCAGAACCAAAUAACCAAGGCCCAGCCAUCAACAGAAACCCUAACCAAUCCGAGUAACCAACCUGAAUUCUUCAACCCGGCAACAGCGGAGCCCCAUCGCUGCUACUCAAGGAUUCACUUAUCCUGUAGAUGGAAGCACGCAGGGAGGAGCCACAGAGGAACUAUGCUAAAUCAAACCGCAUGCAAGCUGAAAUCACUUUGUCCAAAAUAGAACAAAGACCAAGCACAUGAAGACCACACCAGGACACAAAAGGAUAGGGGAGGAGGAAGACGAACCAAUGAACCAAAGACUGCGCAAAUGCUGGCGGAAUUAGGAAAGGCUUGGCAGUGCUCUGGCGUCUCAUUCUCAUUUAAUCAAAGAGCUGUCCGCCAGCAACUCUGAACAAUAAUUAUUUUAAAUUAUGUGAAAAGCAAAUUCAUCUCCUACUAAAUCAUGUGAAUAAUAAUUAUUUUUUUAAAAGCAUCAGAUAAUUUCAAAUUUAAUUAUCAAGGCAGGUGGUUGAUAGAUUAUGGCAUUUUUGUCCCUUAAUGAACGCAUGGGCCAACGAUUGAUUGCCAUUUAUGCAAGAAAUAAAGUAUUUUAUGAAAACAUAGACCAUAAAUGACAAGAAUAUAAAAAGAAAAUCCUUUUCUUGGAAUAGCUAUUGUAGCUUAACAGCCGCUUAGUCCAUGAACUUCAUGUUGAAGAAGAGACUUCAUUGCUUGUUUCUUUACCACUUUUCCAUAUAUUCCUCUUCCCAAUUUCAUUACUCUCUCCAUCUCCACCACAUUAGCAGUUCUUCUUAAUCCUCCCAUCAACAACACUUUCACUACCCUCUCAUCACUUCCUGUUGCUUCUGCAACGCUAUCCACCACUACAUCAAGAGCAGGAAGCCGUCUUCCCCACCUCUUCAUCAACUUCUCUGACCCAUAUGCUUCACAAUAUGAUGGCCAAAAUGAUGCCCUCAAAUACCCUUUCUCUUUUCCUCUUACCAUCCACCUUUUCAUGCCUUCUUCUAGCCUGAAUAUUGCACCACCUACCUCUAAUCCUCUUUCUAGUCCCAUCUCAAUCUCUUUCAUUUCUUGCUUAGAACAGAAUUGUUCUUCAAACUUGCAUCUCUUGCAAUGACAAUGGAAACCCCAUGUAUUUGACAUUUCCCUUCUUUUCUCCAUUGGCAAAAGCACAUCAAAAUAUGCAAAUGUGAUCUCUUCUCCUGCCUUCACAUCCCUUGAAGCAUGAACUAAUACAUAAUCCCCUACAUGCAAGCGCCUAGCAUUGGGAUGACAUGAAUGGUUGAUUAAUGAAGCUAGCACCCACAACCCAACACCAUAAUAAUCCUUAUUCUUCCCCAAGACACUAGCUGAAACUGAAUCCUCAACAAGAGAAUUCACAUCCAAUAUGCUCAUCAUCCUAACCAUAUCAAGCUCUUCAUUUGAUUUGCUACUGAUCUCCUCCGCCUCUUGCCUAAAGAGGCUCAUUUCAGGCACCCCAAGUUUUUCUUCCUCUUCACCAGUCGACAACGUACUCACCAAGUGUUGGAUUCUUCGACACUUUUUGGUGGAUUCUACAACUUCAUCAAUGAAAUUCUUCCACAUCAUCAAUUGUGCGUUUUCAUUCGAAUCUUCGCUUGACAAUAUGCCUCUCUCUGUAGCAAUUGCUUUGUUCACUAACAACAACGUCCCUGCAUCAAUGUUCUUCGCUGCAAACAGGCCUCUCCCACUAAGCUGAGACUGUUUAAUCUCUACAGGGCCAAUAUAUUCAGCGAGCUCCGGAAAACUCCCACGAAACCCAUUUAGCACCCAAUCUGAAAGAUCAAAAGCUCCAGUCCUUGAUUGAAAUUCAAGUUUCUUGCAUUUCUCCACAUACCCAUUUAAGGUUUCAAGAUUCCCAUUAGCCUGUGGAUCAAGAAGAGCUGUUUUAAAGCAAUCCAAAGCCAUAGAGUACCUGUUCAAACAGAGCAAGAUUUUUCCUUUGCAGAGAAGAGCCUUAAAAUGGGUACUGUCAAUUUUCAAUGCUUGAUCACAAUCUUCGAGUGCUUCAGUGAAGUCUUUAAGCCUGGACCGUGCUUCAGCUCUGUUCGAGAGGGCUAAGCAGAGGGAUUUCUGAAGCUUGUUGAUUUGAUCUGUGUUUGGGUAGUGUUGAUUGGUGUUUGAGCUCUGUUCUUGGCAAAGAUCGAUGAACUGAGUAUAGACUUGCACCGACUCUUGCCAUUCUUCACGGAGGAGAAGCUCGUUGGCCUUCAAUCGGAGCUCUUGCAUUAGCUUCUCCGGUGAUGAUAGCUGUUGUUGAUCCUCUUCUCUCAUUUUUUUUUUUUCCGACGUUGGUG
Molecule: unclassified non-coding RNA, 2437 nt
Filed under: Hevea brasiliensis (rubber tree)
Lineage: Eukaryota; Viridiplantae; Streptophyta; Magnoliopsida; Malpighiales; Euphorbiaceae
Source: RNAcentral